UAUCGGGAAGGGAUCGGCCCGCGUUGGAUUAGGUAGUUGGUGGGGUAAUGGCCUACCAAGCCGACGAUCCAUAGCUGGUUUGAGAGGAUGAUCAGCCACACUGGGACUGAGACACGGCCCAGACUCCUACGGGAGGCAGCAGUGGGGAAUCUUAGACAAUGGGGGAAACCCUGAUCUAGCCAUGCCGCGUGAUCGAUGAAGGCCUUAGGGUUGUAAAGAUCUUUCAGAUGGGAAGAUAAUGACGGUACCAUCAGAAGAAGCCCCGGCUAACUCCGUGCCAGCAGCCGCGGUAAUACGGAGGGGGCUAGCGUUAUUCGGAAUUACUGGGCGUAAAGCGCACGUAGGCGGAUCAGAAAGUCAGAGGUGAAAUCCCGGGGCUCAACCCCGGAACGGCCUUUGAAACUCCUGGUCUUGAGGUCGAGAGAGGUGAGUGGAAUUCCGAGUGUAGAGGUGAA
Molecule: ribosomal RNA, 455 nt
Filed under: Pseudorhodobacter sp.
Lineage: Bacteria; Pseudomonadati; Pseudomonadota; Alphaproteobacteria; Rhodobacterales; Paracoccaceae
Description: bacterial SSU rRNA
Rfam family: Bacterial small subunit ribosomal RNA
Source: RNAcentral